CAGUCUGGUGCAACUCUGGCAGCGCCGCCGCUAGCUUAGUUUAGCGUAGUGAAUGGAAUCGUUUGUUGCCAGUUAGCAUGUUGUGAGUAAAAGUGAGCCAACAACAACAAAAAACAAC
Long non-coding RNA from Sander lucioperca (pikeperch), 118 nucleotides. RefSeq lists it as uncharacterized. The record is from RefSeq and is a predicted model, not a curated record. The transcript is spliced from 3 exons. NCBI's taxonomy places the organism in Eukaryota, Metazoa, Chordata, Actinopteri, Perciformes, Percidae.